GGUGUUUGGAAUGAAGUUUGAUCCAAGAUCCUUCCACAUGCUUUCCCUCUUCAUAUGUUAUGGGGUUUCUUGUUUGGUUUGGAUGUGAUCUCGGACCAGGCUUCAUUCCACACACC
Molecule: microRNA precursor, 116 nt
Filed under: Musa acuminata subsp. malaccensis (wild Malaysian banana)
Lineage: Eukaryota; Viridiplantae; Streptophyta; Magnoliopsida; Zingiberales; Musaceae
Description: mir-166 microRNA precursor family
Rfam family: mir-166 microRNA precursor family
About the family: This family represents the plant microRNA (miRNA) precursor mir-166.
Source: Rfam by way of RNAcentral